Molecule: long non-coding RNA, 388 nt
Filed under: Parus major (Great Tit)
Lineage: Eukaryota; Metazoa; Chordata; Aves; Passeriformes; Paridae
Description: lncRNA (ENSPMJG00000010886.1)
Source: RNAcentral
UUUUACAGAGUCUCUGGAAAUGGUCAUUCAAGUAAACUGCUUAGACACCAUGUGUGAGUACUGGAGUCUACUUUUCCCUAAUGAACUGAGUCAAACAUGAAGAGAGUCUCACAGAUAAAUUUCCUGCUGUCAGUGGCACAUCAGGGAAGAUUAAUAAGAGAUGAAAGAAUAACUCCUCCUCACAAGAAACAGCAGAUGUUAUUCGGUGCUUGCAAAGCAAAGGAGAUGGGACUGACAGAUGAUGCACUCAUCUUUACUGAGUGUGAUUCCUGACACCUAGCAUGGUCUUCAUUCACAAAGUACCAACAACCAACUUCGUAUUCAAAGAUGUGCCUAUAUCAAGAGAGACUGUGAUGGAGUCUUGUAACAAUUCAAGCACAAAAGCAAC